This 224-nucleotide unclassified non-coding RNA is filed under the name uncultured Terriglobales bacterium. Its description in RNAcentral is "uncultured Acidobacteriales bacterium contains 16S-23S intergenic spacer region". The record is from RNAcentral. Lineage: Bacteria; Pseudomonadati; Acidobacteriota; Terriglobia; Terriglobales.
UCCCCGUUAUCCGAGGCGGUUUCGCUAGAGUGCCCAGCUUGACCUGAUGGCAACUAACGAUAAGGGUUGCGCUCGUUGCGGGACUUAACCCAACAUCUCACGACACGAGCUGACGACAGCCAUGCAGCACCUCCGCAGCAGUUCUUGCGAAAAGGGAUAUUUCUACCCCGGUCCACUGCGCUUCGAGCCCAGGUAAGGUGGGGAUGACGUCACACAGACUAUAC